GACGAACGCUGGCGGCGCGCCUAAUACAUGCAAGUUGAGCGCUGAAGGUUGGUACUUGUACCAACUGGAUGAGCAGCGAACGGGUGAGUAACGCGUGGGGAAUCUGCCUUUGAGCGGGGGACAACAUUUGGAAACGAAUGCUAAUACCGCAUAAAAACUUUAAACACAAGUUUUAAGUUUGAAAGAUGCAAUUGCAUCACUCAAAGAUGAUCCCGCGUUGUAUAGCUAGUUGGUGAGGUAAAGGCUCACUAAGGCGAUGAUACAUAGCCGACCUGAGAGGGUGAUCGGCCACAUUGGGACUGAGACACGGCCCAAACUCCUACGGGAGGCAGCAGUAGGGAAUCUUCGGCAAUGGACGAAAGUCUGACCGAGCAACGCCGCGUGAGUGAAGAAGGUUGUCGGAUCGUAAAACUCUGUUGGUAGAGAAGAACGUUGGUGAGAGUGGAAAGCUCAUCAAGUGACGGUAACUACCCAGAAAGGGACGGCUAACUACGUG
Molecule: ribosomal RNA, 496 nt
Filed under: uncultured bacterium
Lineage: Bacteria
Description: partial 16S ribosomal RNA
Rfam family: Bacterial small subunit ribosomal RNA
Source: RNAcentral